Mus musculus (house mouse) is the source of this 1223-nucleotide long non-coding RNA. RefSeq annotates it as predicted gene, 51667. Lineage: Eukaryota; Metazoa; Chordata; Mammalia; Rodentia; Muridae. The record is from RefSeq and is a predicted model, not a curated record. The transcript has 4 exons.
UGAAAGAAGCUACCAGUUUACUUGUGUACCAAGAUCAUUAUCUAAGGAACUGGUCUUAACCUCUUUUACAAAGCUGAACUGUGUUAUUAACACGUGGUGUUCCAGUCUGUGAUGAAAUACUUCAGUGUGGUUCAGUUAUAUAAUGAGUAUAUAUGAAUGGAUAUAAAGACCAUACUAUACAUACUAGAUGAAUCGGAGGCCCAGGAAUCACGGCGGUGACAGUGUAAACCGGGUCUGGAUAGCCUAGAAUUGAGCAAGUGCAGGGGAUGCCCACUGAGGAAUGAGGGGCGCCGGGGACACCGAAGCGCCCGGCCCUGCGCUCCCAGAGAGGGUGAGAGAGCUGGGAGGCUCCGGGGGACCGCAAGAGGUGAAGCCAGGUGAAGGAGGCCAAGGGUCCGGAGAGGGAGGCCUGGAGAAAGCUGCCGGCCACGGUCCUCCUUACCGUCCGAGUUGGCCUCUGGGUCGAAACGCUGGCCACAGCCGCGGUUGUAACACAAGAGCGCCAUUCCGUCUUCUCGGCGAAAUCCACACCACCCGGGACUAGAAGUGAAUCACCGCAGCAAUCACCAGCACUACUGUUCAGGCCGCAGCUAGCUUCCGGAAGCCGCCGGUACUGCUUCAGGAAUUUUCCCGAACGUUCCGGUUGCACAGGCGCAGAAGAGACCGGAAGACGGGCCAGCGUCGGGCGGUGGACAGAUUUCCUACCGGACUGCCACAGACAGAUGUGCAUCAGAGGAUCCUGAUGAUGGAAACUUACCACAUUGCCAAGAGAAGUGGCUGGGAUGAGCAAGAAGAUGGUCCUAGACAAAGUUAUGUUUCUGUUUCCAGGAUCUGUCUGCAAACUUGGUGGACGUUCCCAUGGUCCCCAGAGGACUCUCCACACAGCAGGCACCCUAGCGUGCUCGGGAUCUUAGGAUUACUGGUGAGUCGAAUGCAGCAUAUGUUCCAAAACCACCGUGAGGGGCCUGUGCCAGCAGGGGCAGGGACCCUGGAAACCCACCUGACCAGCGGCUCCGGUUCCUUCAGGUCGGCACCAGCCCCGGGCCACCUUAGGCGUGAACUCGGUGGAUUUUCCCAGGGUCUCCAGGGACUCUCCACGCUGCAGGUGCCCUAGCUCGCCCAGGAUCUUAGGUCACUGAUGAGUUUAAGGCAACAUCUGUUCCAAAACAACUGUGAGGGGCCUGUGAUAGCAGGAGCAAGGACACAGGAGCCCUGCUUGACCA